RNAcentral lists this ribosomal RNA (563 nucleotides) under uncultured bacterium. RNAcentral describes it as "partial 16S ribosomal RNA". It matches the Rfam family "Bacterial small subunit ribosomal RNA", at positions 355 to 912 of the family's 1533-position model. The record is from RNAcentral.
UGGGGAAUUUUGGACAAUGGGCGAAAGCCUGAUCCAGCAAUGCCGCGUGUGUGAAGAAGGCCUUCGGGUUGUAAAGCACUUUUGUCCGGAAAGAAAUCCUUGGCUCUAAUACAGUCGGGGGAUGACGGUACCGGAAGAAUAAGCACCGGCUAACUACGUGCCAGCAGCCGCGGUAAUACGUAGGGUGCAAGCGUUAAUCGGAAUUACUGGGCGUAAAGCGUGCGCAGGCGGUUUGCUAAGACCGAUGUGAAAUCCCCGGGCUCAACCUGGGAACUGCAUUGGUGACUGGCAGGCUAGAGUAUGGCAGAGGGGGGUAGAAUUCCACGUGUAGCAGUGAAAUGCGUAGAGAUGUGGAGGAAUACCGAUGGCGAAGGCAGCCCCCUGGGCCAAUACUGACGCUCAUGCACGAAAGCGUGGGGAGCAAACAGGAUUAGAUACCCUGGUAGUCCACGCCCUAAACGAUGUCAACUAGUUGUUGGGGAUUCAUUCCUUAGUAACGUAGCUAACGCGUGAAGUUGACCGCCUGGGGAGUACGGUCGCAAGAUUAAAACUCAAAUGAAUUG